This 263-nucleotide ribosomal RNA is filed under the name uncultured bacterium. RNAcentral's name for it is "partial 16S ribosomal RNA". It matches the Rfam family "Bacterial small subunit ribosomal RNA", at positions 524 to 784 of the family's 1533-position model. The record is from RNAcentral.
UACGGAGGGUGCAAGCGUUGUUCGGAUUUACUGGGCGUAAAGCGCGCGCAGGUGGGGUGUACAAGUCGGAAGUGAAAUCCCAGGGCUCAACCCUGGGGCUGCUCCCGAAACUGUACGCCUAGGGACUGGUAGAGGCUGGUAGAAUUCCCGGUGUAGCGGUGGAAUGCGUAGAGAUCGGGAAGAAUACCCGUGGCGAAGGCGGCCAACUGGACAGAUACUGACGCUGAGACUCGAAAGCGUGGGGAGCAAACAGGGAUUAAGAA